RNAcentral lists this ribosomal RNA (678 nucleotides) under uncultured Eubacteriales bacterium. RNAcentral's name for it is "bacterial SSU rRNA". It matches the Rfam family "Bacterial small subunit ribosomal RNA", at positions 77 to 776 of the family's 1533-position model. The record is from RNAcentral. Lineage: Bacteria; Bacillati; Bacillota; Clostridia; Eubacteriales.
AGACACUAAGCGGAUUAGUGGCGAACGGGUGAGUAACGCGUGAGUAACCUGCCUUACACAAGGGGAUAGCCUUUGGAAACGAAGAAUAAUACCCUAUAAAACUAUAAAAGCACAUGCUAGAAUGGUCAAAGUGCUAGCGGUGUAAGAUGGACUUGCGUCUGAUUAGCUAGUUGGUGAGAUAAAAGCUCACCAAGGCAACGAUCAGUAGCCGGCCUGAGAGAGUGUACGGCCACAUUGGGACUGAGACACGGCCCAGACUCCUACGGGAGGCAGCAGUGGGGAAUUUUGCACAAUGGGGGAAACCCUGAUGCAGCGACGCCGCGUGAUUUAGAAGGCCUUCGGGUUGUAAAAAUCUUUUGUAUAGGAAGAAAAUGACAGUACUAUACGAAUAAGGUCCGGCUAAUUACGUGCCAGCAGCCGCGGUAAUACGUAAGGACCGAGCGUUGUCCGGAAUCAUUGGGCGUAAAGGGUACGUAGGCGGCUAGAAAAGUUAGAAGUCAAAGGCUAUAGCUCAACUAUAGUAAGCUUCUAAAACUAUUUAGCUUGAGAAAUGGAAGGGAAAGUGGAAUUCCUAGUGUAGCGGUGGAAUGCGCAGAUAUUAGGAAGAAUACCGGUGGCGAAGGCGACUUUCUGGCCAUUAUCUGACGCUGAGGUACGAAAGCGUGGGUAGCAAACAGG